UACGUAGGGGACGAGCGUUGUCCGGAAUUACUGGGCGUAAAGGGCGCGCAGGCUGCGUUACAAGUCAGCUGUUAAAAUCAUGGGCUUACCCCAUGAGUGCGGUUGAAACUGUAGUGCUUGAGUACUGUAGAGGCAAGCGGAAUUCCCAGUGUAGCGGUGAAAUGCGUAGAUAUUGGGAGGAACACCGGUGGCGUAGGCGGCUUGCUGGACAGUAACUGACGCUGAGGCGCGAAAGCCAGGGGAGCAAACGGGAUUAGAAACCCUUGUAGUCC
Molecule: ribosomal RNA, 272 nt
Filed under: uncultured prokaryote
Description: partial 16S ribosomal RNA
Rfam family: Bacterial small subunit ribosomal RNA
Source: RNAcentral